Molecule: long non-coding RNA, 146 nt
Organism: Pipistrellus kuhlii (Kuhl's pipistrelle)
Lineage: Eukaryota; Metazoa; Chordata; Mammalia; Chiroptera; Vespertilionidae
Exons: 3
Source: RefSeq, a predicted model, not a curated record
CCAAGCCCAGGCCUGGCCGAGGCGCGGGUGGCAGAUCGGACCAACCUGACCGGAGGGCGUGGGCGCCUUCACGGGGCUCGCCGCGGGCAGGGGGUCAAAGUCCAGGUCCAGCAGGCUGGCCUGCUCCGAGAACGGCCCCGGGGCCU